AACGAACGCUGGCGGCAUGCCUAACACAUGCAAGUCGAACGAGACCUUCGGGCCUAGUGGCGCACGGGUGCGUAACGCGUGGGAACCUGCCCUUAGGUUCGGAAUAACUCCCCGAAAGGGGUGCUAAUACCGGAUAAUUUCUUCGGACCAAAGAUUUAUCGACUUUGGAUGGGCCCGCGUUGGAUUAGCUAGUUGGUAGGGUAAAAGCCUACCAAGGCGACGAUCCACAGCUGGUCUGAGAGGAUGAUCAGCCACACUGGGACUGAGACACGGCCCAGACUCCUACGGGAGGCAGCAGUGGGGAAUAUUGGACAAUGGGCGAAAGCAUGAUCCAGCAAUGCCGCGUGAGUGAUGAAGGCCUUAGGGUUGUAAAGCUCUUUUACCCGGGAUGAUAAUGACAGUACCGGGAGAAUAAGCUCCGGCUAACUCCGUG
RNAcentral lists this ribosomal RNA (433 nucleotides) under uncultured bacterium. Its description in RNAcentral is "partial 16S ribosomal RNA". It matches the Rfam family "Bacterial small subunit ribosomal RNA", at positions 29 to 507 of the family's 1533-position model. The record is from RNAcentral.